RNAcentral lists this small nuclear RNA (319 nucleotides) under Nannospalax galili (Upper Galilee mountains blind mole rat). Its description in RNAcentral is "7SK RNA (ENSNGAG00000004391.1)". It matches the Rfam family "7SK RNA". From Rfam's summary of the family: 7SK was discovered as an abundant small nuclear RNA in the mid-70s but a possible function has only recently been suggested. Two independent studies have found that 7SK RNA binds the CDK9/cyclin T complex (known as elongation factor P-TEFb). Lineage: Eukaryota; Metazoa; Chordata; Mammalia; Rodentia; Spalacidae. The record is from Rfam by way of RNAcentral.
GGAUGUGAAGGGGAUCUGGCUGCAACAUCUGUCGCCCAAUUGAAUGCCAGGGUUGAUUUGGCUGAUCUGGCUGACUAAGCGGGUGUACCCUUCCUCCCUCAAUGCUCCACGUGUGUCCCUCCUGAAGCUGUGCACUCAGUCGAAGAGGAUGACCUUUCCCGACAGAGGAGGACUGGUCUUCGGUCAAGGGUAUACAAGUAGCUGCACUCCCCUGCUAGAACCUCCAAACAAGCUCUCAAAGAAAGACUAGGAUAGCUGCAGUGGUGUUGUCCUGAAAGGCUGGGAAGAACAGAGAGUGUUUCCUGAGAUGAGUCACUUC